RNAcentral lists this ribosomal RNA (407 nucleotides) under uncultured bacterium. Its description in RNAcentral is "partial 16S ribosomal RNA". It matches the Rfam family "Bacterial small subunit ribosomal RNA", at positions 30 to 526 of the family's 1533-position model. The record is from RNAcentral.
AUUGAACGCUGGCGGCAGGCCUAACACAUGCAAGUCGAGCGGAGCAGCGGACGGGUACGUAAUGCCUAUGAAUCUGCCUGUUAGUGAGGGAUAACGUCCGGUAACGGGCGCUAAUCCCACUUCCUCUCACAUUAGCCUGGGUCGGAUUAGCUAUUUGUUGGGGUAAAGGCCUACCAAGGCGACGAUCCGUAACUGGUCUGAGAGGAUGAUCAGUCACACUGGAACUGAGACACGGUCCAGACUCCUACGGGAGGCAGCAGUGGGGAAUAUUGGACAAUGGGCGAAAGCCUGAUCCAGCCAUGCCGCGUGUGUGAAGAAGGCCUUCGGAUUGUAAAGCACUUUAAGUUGGGAGGCGUUACCAACAGAAGAAGCACCGGCUAACUUCGUGCCAGCAGCCGCGGUAAUUC